This 253-nucleotide ribosomal RNA is filed under the name uncultured bacterium. RNAcentral's name for it is "partial 16S ribosomal RNA". It matches the Rfam family "Bacterial small subunit ribosomal RNA", at positions 524 to 776 of the family's 1533-position model. The record is from RNAcentral.
UACGGAGGGUGCAAGCGUUGUCCGGAUUUAUUGGGUUUAAAGGGUGCGUAGGCGGCUGAUUAAGUCAGCGGUGAAAUUCCACAGCUCAACUGUGGAACUGCCAUUGAUACUGGUUUGCUUGAGUACAGAUGAGGUAGGCGGAAUUGACAGUGUAGCGGUGAAAUGCUUAGAUAUUGUCAAGAACACCUAUUGCGAAGGCAGCUUACUAAGCUGUAACUGACGCUGAGGCACGAAAGCGUGGGGAUCAAACAGG